CCUACGGGCGGCAGCAGUGGGGAAUAUUGCACAAUGGGCGAAAGCCUGAUGCAGCGACGCCGCGUGAGCGAUGAAGGCCUUCGGAUCGUAAAGCUCUGUCCUCAAGGAAGAUAAUGACGGUACUUGAGGAGGAAGCCCCGGCUAACUACGUGCCAGCAGCCGCGGUAAUACGUAGGGGGCUAGCGUUAUCCGGAAUUACUGGGCGUAAGGGGUGCGUAGGUGGUUUCCUAAGUCAGAGGUGAAAGGCUACGGCUCAACCGUAGUAAGCCUUUGAAACUGGGAAACUUGAGUGCAGGAGAGGAGAGUGGAAUUCCUAGUGUAGCGGUGAAAUGCGUAGAUAUUAGGAGGAACACCAGUGGCGAAGGCGGCUCUCUGGACUGUAACUGACGCUGAGGCACGAAAGCGUGGGGAGCAAACAGGAUUAGAUACCCUUGUAGUC
This 439-nucleotide ribosomal RNA is filed under the name uncultured bacterium. Its description in RNAcentral is "partial 16S ribosomal RNA". It matches the Rfam family "Bacterial small subunit ribosomal RNA", at positions 338 to 795 of the family's 1533-position model. The record is from RNAcentral.